AAAAAGACAAACCCUGGUUUCUGUGUCCAACGUUUGACCGUCCGUCUUAUUUAAAAAAAUUAUGAAAAAAAUUAAAAAGACAAGUCACGCAUAAAAUAUUAAUCAUGUUUUAUCAUCUAACAACAAUGAAAAUACAAAUUAUAAAAAUAUUUCAUAUAAGACGGACAAUCAAAGUUGGACACAGAAACCUAGAGUUUGUCUUUUU
This 205-nucleotide microRNA precursor is filed under the name Oryza glumipatula. RNAcentral's name for it is "MIR812 microRNA precursor family". It matches the Rfam family "MIR812 microRNA precursor family". The record is from Rfam by way of RNAcentral. Lineage: Eukaryota; Viridiplantae; Streptophyta; Magnoliopsida; Poales; Poaceae.